GAUGAAGAACGCAGCGAAAUGCGAUAAGUAAUGUGAAUUGCAGAAUUCCGUGAAUCAUCGAAUCUUUGAACGCACAUUGCGCCCCCUGGCAUUCCGGGGGCAUGCCUGUCCGAGCGUCAUUUCUGCCCUCAAGCACGGCUUGUGUGUUGGGUGUGGUCCCCCCGGGGACCUGCCCGAAAGGCAGCGGCGACGUCCGUCUGGUCCUCGAGCGUAUGGGGCUCUGUCACUCGCUCGGGAAGGACCUGCGGGGGUUGGUCACCACCAUGUUUUACCACGGUUGACCUCGGAUCAGGUAGGAGUUACCCGCUGAACUUAAGCAUAUCAAUAAGCGGAGGA
This 336-nucleotide unclassified non-coding RNA is filed under the name soil metagenome. RNAcentral describes it as "partial contains 5.8S ribosomal RNA, internal transcribed spacer 2, and large subunit ribosomal RNA". The stretch from base 1 to 119 matches the Rfam family "5.8S ribosomal RNA", at positions 35 to 154 of the family's 154-position model. The record is from RNAcentral.